Molecule: ribosomal RNA, 473 nt
Filed under: uncultured bacterium
Lineage: Bacteria
Description: bacterial SSU rRNA
Rfam family: Bacterial small subunit ribosomal RNA
Source: RNAcentral
UGGGGAAUUGUUCACAAUGGGCGCAAGCCUGAUGACGCAACGCCGCGUGGGGGAUGAAGGUCUUCGGAUCGUAAACCCCUGUCGAAUGGGACGAAUAGCCCGCGAAUUAAUACCUCGUGGGAAUGACGGUACCGUUAAAGGAAGCCACGGCUAACUCUGUGCCAGCAGCCGCGGUAAUACAGAGGUGGCAGGCGUUGUUCGGAAUUACUGGGCGUAAAGGGCGCGUAGGCGGCCAUCUAAGUCAGACGUGAAAUCCCCCGGCUCAACCUGGGAACUGCGUCUGAUACUGGGAGGCUAGAGUUUGGGAGAGGGAUGUAGAAUUCCAGGUGUAGCGGUGAAAUGCGUAGAUAUCUGGAGGAAUACCGGUGGCGAAGGCGGCAUCCUGGACCAAUACUGACGCUGAGGCGCGAAAGCUAGGGGAGCAAACGGGAUUAGAUACCCAUGUAGUCCCUGAGCGGGCUGGCAAGGCGCAU